Molecule: small RNA, 132 nt
Filed under: Escherichia coli
Lineage: Bacteria; Pseudomonadati; Pseudomonadota; Gammaproteobacteria; Enterobacterales; Enterobacteriaceae
Description: RtT sRNA
Rfam family: RtT RNA
About the family: This family represents a bacterial cis-regulatory element known as RtT RNA. The exact function of RtT is unknown although it is thought that it may be involved in changing the cellular response in relation to amino acid starvation.
Source: RNAcentral
AUUCUGCCCAAGCGGGGAAGGAUGAGAAGCUUCGACCAUGGUUCGACUCGAGCGCCAGCGAGAGAGCGUUGCCGCAGGCAACGACCCGAAGGGCGAAGCGCGCAGCGCUGAGUAAUCCUUCCCCCACCACCA